This 800-nucleotide ribosomal RNA is filed under the name bacterium SCS_30Z0_4. RNAcentral's name for it is "bacterial SSU rRNA". It matches the Rfam family "Bacterial small subunit ribosomal RNA", at positions 45 to 824 of the family's 1533-position model. The record is from RNAcentral.
GGCUUUAAGCAGCUGACCAUGCAGUCGAGCGGUAACAGGCAGGUGCUUGCACCCCGCUGACGAGCGGCGGACGGGUGAGUAAUGCAUAGGAAUCUGCCCAGUAGUGGGGGAUAGCCCGGGGAAACCCGGAUUAAUACCGCAUACGCCCUACGGGGGAAAGCAGGGGAUCUUCGGACCUUGCGCUAUUGGAUGAGCCUAUGUCGGAUUAGCUUGUUGGUGGGGUAAUGGCUCACCAAGGCGACGAUCCGUAGCUGGUCUGAGAGGAUGAUCAGCCACAUCGGGACUGAGACACGGCCCGAACUCCUACGGGAGGCAGCAGUGGGGAAUAUUGGACAAUGGGGGCAACCCUGAUCCAGCCAUGCCGCGUGUGUGAAGAAGGCUUUCGGGUUGUAAAGCACUUUCAGUGAGGAGGAAAACCUUAUGGCUAAUACCCAUGAGGCUUGACGUUACUCACAGAAGAAGCACCGGCUAACUCCGUGCCAGCAGCCGCGGUAAUACGGAGGGUGCAAGCGUUAAUCGGAAUUACUGGGCGUAAAGCGCGCGUAGGUGGUUUGAUAAGCGAGAUGUGAAAGCCCCGGGCUUAACCUGGGAACGGCAUUUCGAACUGUCAGGCUAGAGUGUGGUAGAGGGUAGUGGAAUUUCCUGUGUAGCGGUGAAAUGCGUAGAUAUAGGAAGGAACACCAGUGGCGAACGCGGCUAGCCUGGACCAACACUGACACUGACGUGCGAGAAGCGUGUGGAGCAAACAGGAUUAGAUACCCCUGGGAGGUCCACGCCGUAAACGAUGUCUACUAGCCGUU